GUCGUAGCUCAGUGGUAGAACAUCUGCUUUGCAUGCAGAAGGUCCCAGGUUCAAUCCUUAGCAUCUCCA
Podarcis lilfordi (Lilford's wall lizard) is the source of this 69-nucleotide non-coding RNA. Lineage: Eukaryota; Metazoa; Chordata; Lepidosauria; Squamata; Lacertidae. The record is from the annotation of a GenBank genome assembly.